This 1173-nucleotide ribosomal RNA is filed under the name Triticum aestivum (bread wheat). Its description in RNAcentral is "partial small subunit ribosomal RNA". Lineage: Eukaryota; Viridiplantae; Streptophyta; Magnoliopsida; Poales; Poaceae. The record is from RNAcentral.
AUGGUUGGACUGGGCGCUGCCUUGGGAAUGCUACUUGUUGGUUUGAGUGGGGUAUUCUUUUUCUAUAGAUGGAAAAGAGGUAUCAGGAAACAACGACGCAGGAUGUACUUCCGUAAAAACCAGGGCCUUCUGUUGGAACAACUCAUAUUGUCUGAUGAAAAUGCAAGUGAUAGGACAACGAUCUUCUCCUUAGAAGAGUUGGAGAAGGCAACAAACAAUUUUGAUGAUGCUCGAAUUGUCGGACGUGGAGGGAAUGGCAUGGUAUACAAAGGCAUCUUAUCUGACCAGCGUGUGGUAGCUAUAAAAAAGUCAAAACUUGUUGAGGAAGCUGAGAUCAAUGAGUUUAUUAAUGAGGUUGCAAUCCUCUCUCAGAUAAAUCAUCGAAAUAUCGUGAAGCUCUUUGGAUGUUGUCUUGAAACAGAGGUGCCCCUGUUGGUGUCUGUUUUUAUCCCUAAUGACUCUUUAUUUGAUGUCCUGCGUGGUGAGUCAGUCAGUGGGCACUCUCUAUCCUGGGACGACUGUUUGAGGAUUGCUCUAGAAUCUGUUGGAGCUCUAUGUUAUUUACAUACAUCUGCUUCCAUAUCAGUUUUUCAUCAUGAUGUCAAGUCCUCUAAUAUAUUGUUGGAUGCAUAUUACACCGCUAAAGUUUCGGAUUUUGGUGCGUCGAGAACAGCUCCAAUUCACCAAACUCAUGUGACUACAAAUGUACAAGGAACAUUUGGAUACUUGGAUCCAAAAUAUUAUCAAACCGGUAAACUAAACGAGAAAAGUGAUGUGUAUAGUUUUGGUGUGUUACUCCUAGAGUUGCUCACAAGAAAAGAGCCAGUUUUCCGAAGCAAUGCAGGUGGAGAGUGUUAUCAAAACUUGUCCAUCUACUUCAUUUCAGAGAUCAAAGUGAGGCCAGUAAGAGAGGUGGUGGCUACUCAAGUUCUUGAAGAAGCAACUGAAGAUGAAAUUAAUACCAUUGCCUCUCUUGUGGAGAUGUGUUUGCGUCUCCGGGGAGAAGAAAGGCCUACCAUGAAGCAAGUGGAGAGUACAUUACAAUAUUUGCGAACAAAAAGGUUGACCUCAUGUCAAAUUGGUGAAGGAAGCGACGAAGAGAUCCAACCAUUAGUCACUAACUGUCAACCACCAACUGUCCCUAGUUAUCAACCUUUGGCCAUUCAAUUAUAA